Molecule: long non-coding RNA, 904 nt
Organism: Gadus morhua (Atlantic cod)
Lineage: Eukaryota; Metazoa; Chordata; Actinopteri; Gadiformes; Gadidae
Source: Ensembl
UGCACGAUCAUUACCUGUAUAAAUCACAGAAUUAAUAAAUGUUUUGCAAUGAAUAACUACUGCUUUGAAUUAAUAACAUAUUUUGAAUGAACAAAACGUGUUAAUCACAUGCAUCAACAGAUUAUUACUGAGUGAAAAAUGCCGUGCGUGAGAAGGAGAACCACCUCCCGUGGGCUGGUUCCUGCAUGGGUGUAUGCCAGGGCCUGCAGCGAGGUCAAUUCUGGGAGCUCUGAGGCAGGCAGCGUUGGCAAACAUAAAUCAUGUGACGUUGUCACGCUACCUCAAGCGGAGGGCAGUGAAGCGGCUAGGUCCCCUGGCUAUAACCCGCACAAUAGGGUUUUUAACGCAGCGCAGGAGGGAAAGGUCAGGGACUUCCCGAAGAGGGCAGCAGCCAUUUAUUUUGAGAAGGGUCCAGCUGCAGGCUUGGGCGUUCCCGUCAUGACACAAAAACGCCCAUCGGGCGUUCCCGUCAUGACACAAAAAUGCCCAUCAGGCGUUCCUGUAGCGUUUCAUCGAUCAAUCAAGAAGAGGUGAGUGAGUUUCGCAAGGCAUGCUGGGUAUGCUACCCUUCCUUUUUUGGCGGUUUUACCUCGUAGUAACUUUCCAGAAAAACGAAAGGGUUAUGAUGCGAGAUUAUGUCAUACCCUGGCACAUGCUUUGUCCAAUGGACCAUGGAAGGGACUUUACUUGGCUGACGAGGACGCACCUCACCAGUAUCAGAGCAACAGCUGAGGGGUGUUUAUGCUGAUGUACGCAAUGUAUUCUACCCUCAAGAGCAAUAUGAUUUCAGUGAGGGGGACAUGCUCUCUAUCAGGAGGUGGUGGUUGGACUGCUGUUGGAGACCUUUAUGCUUGAAAGCCCUGCAGAACUAGCUGGCUCCUUCUCACCCUCUCCAUCUCCCCAU